Molecule: long non-coding RNA, 213 nt
Filed under: Elaeis guineensis (African oil palm)
Lineage: Eukaryota; Viridiplantae; Streptophyta; Magnoliopsida; Arecales; Arecaceae
Description: long non-coding RNA (EGUI_LNC069972)
Source: RNAcentral
CAUGGACUCCAUCUCGGACUUCAUAGCCUCAAGCCAUUUCUGAGAGUCAGGCCUUUGCAUGGCCUCCAUAUAGGUGAUCGGAUCCUCAUCGUUCUCAUCAAGUUCAAUGGGGUCACCAUCCCAGAUCAGAAAAUCAUAGUAUCUAUCCGGCUGACGCGCUACUCUAUCGGAUCUCCUUAAUAGUGUCUCUACCAGUUUCAGAUUCGAUUCACC